RNAcentral lists this long non-coding RNA (571 nucleotides) under Homo sapiens (human). RNAcentral describes it as "non-protein coding lnc-OTOR-3:2". Lineage: Eukaryota; Metazoa; Chordata; Mammalia; Primates; Hominidae. The record is from RNAcentral.
AAUUCGAAAGAAUCAGCGUUCUUCAGUUAAAAUAUACAGGGGCGGUCCCUGGGGAGGGAUGAAGCAGGGAUGAUUUUCUGUCCUCAUCUGCAACCCUAAAGGCAGAUCCUGUCCGAAGCUGCUGAAAGCAUGGAGCAUGGGAAGCACCUGGGAAGAACACCUGGCACUCAAAAGCACAGGAGGUCACCAAAGUGUGAAUGAUUUGGAGACCAAGGCAAGAACUCUGGCUCUGGAAUCAAAUCAGGAGAAUGCCCUAAUUGCGACUGUACUGCUAUUGUUGAGAAGACAACUUGACAACUCACUGUUGGUGAAGUAACUUUCUGAAGACUUGAACCUCAUGCAUUUCCUCCAGAAACAGACACAAGUGGAGGACCCAAGGUUAGGGAUGAGGAGCACAUGAUGAUAGGGCCAUGUGGCACCUCAGGGACUUGUUAAUCGGUCAUGUAAUUAGGAGCCUCUUGCUUGGCUCUGCUUGCAUUAAUGUUUGUGUGGUUUGUAAUGUCUGUGUAAUGUGAGAAGAGACAAGCCAAAUAGAAAAUAAAGAUGGUUUCUUGCUUCUCAUGAGAUGCUU